CCUACGGGAGGCUGCAGUGGGGAGUAUUGCACAAUGGGCGCAAGCCUGAUGCAGCCAUGCCGCGUGUGUGAAGAAGGCCUUCGGGUUGUAAAGCACUUUCAGCGGGGAGGAAGGCGGUGAGGUUAAUAACCUCAUCGAUUGACGUUACCCGCAGAAGAAGCACCGGCUAACUCCGUGCCAGCAGCCGCGGUAAUACGGAGGGUGCAAGCGUUAAUCGGAAUUACUGGGCGUAAAGCGCACGCAGGCGGUCUGUCAAGUCGGAUGUGAAAUCCCCGGGCUCAACCUGGGAACUGCAUUCGAAACUGGCAGGCUAGAGUCUUGUAGAGGGGGGUAGAAUUCCAGGUGUAGCGGUGAAAUGCGUAGAGAUCUGGAGGAAUACCGGUGGCGAAGGCGGCCCCCUGGACAAAGACUGACGCUCAGGUGCGAAAGCGUGGGGAGCAAACAGGAUUAGAUACCCCAGUAGUC
Molecule: ribosomal RNA, 465 nt
Filed under: uncultured Klebsiella sp.
Lineage: Bacteria; Pseudomonadati; Pseudomonadota; Gammaproteobacteria; Enterobacterales; Enterobacteriaceae
Description: bacterial SSU rRNA
Rfam family: Bacterial small subunit ribosomal RNA
Source: RNAcentral